Molecule: ribosomal RNA, 465 nt
Filed under: uncultured bacterium
Lineage: Bacteria
Description: partial 16S ribosomal RNA
Rfam family: Bacterial small subunit ribosomal RNA
Source: RNAcentral
UCCAGACUCCUACGGGAGGCAGCAGUGGGGAAUAUUGCACAAUGGGGGAAACCCUGAUGCAGCGACGCCGCGUGAGUGAAGAAGUAUUUCGGUAUGUAAAGCUCUAUCAGCAGGGAAGAAAAACCGACCAUAGGGUCGCUAGACGGUACCUGAUUAAGAAGCCCCGGCUAACUACUUGCCAGCAGCCGCGGUAAUACGUAGGGGGCGAGCGUUAUCCGGAUUCACUGGGUGUAAAGGGAGCGUAGACGGCCGUGCAAGCCAGGAGUGAAAGCCCGGGGCCCAACCCCGGGACUGCUCUUGGAACUGUGCAGCUAGAGUGCGGGAGGGGCAGGCGGAAUUCCUGGUGUAGCGGUGAAAUGCGUAGAUAUCAGGAGGAACACCGGCGGCGAAGGCGGCCUGCUGGACCGCGACUGACGUUGAGGCCCGAAAGCGUGGGGAGCAAACAGGAUUAGAUACCCGCGUAGA